AUUGAACGCUGGCGGCAUGCCUUACACAUGCAAGUCGAACGGCAGCACGGCAGAGCUUGCUCUGUGGGUGGCGAGUGGCGGACGGGUGAGGAAUACAUGGGAAUCUGCCCAGUCGUGGGGGAUAACGUAGGGAAACUUACGCUAAUACCGCAUGCGCCCUUCGGGGGAAAGCCGGGGACCUUCGGGCCUGGCGCGAUUGGAUGAGCCCAUGUCGGAUUAGCUAGUUGGCGGGGUAAUGGCCCACCAAGGCGACGAUCCGUAGCUGGUCUGAGAGGAUGAUCAGCCACACUGGAACUGAGACACGGUCCAGACUCCUACGGGAGGCAGCAGUAGGGAAUAUUGGACAAUGGGCGCAAGCCUGAUCCAGCCAUGCCGCGUGAGUGAAGAAGGCCCUCGGGUUGUAAAGCUCUUUUGUCCGGAAAGAAAAGCGCCGGGUUAAUACCCUGGUGUCCUGACGGUACCGGAAGAAUAAGCACCGGCUAACUUCGUGCCAGCACGG
RNAcentral lists this ribosomal RNA (499 nucleotides) under uncultured bacterium. RNAcentral's name for it is "bacterial SSU rRNA". It matches the Rfam family "Bacterial small subunit ribosomal RNA", at positions 29 to 516 of the family's 1533-position model. The record is from RNAcentral.